This is a long non-coding RNA of Penaeus chinensis, 435 nucleotides long. RefSeq lists it as uncharacterized. Lineage: Eukaryota; Metazoa; Arthropoda; Malacostraca; Decapoda; Penaeidae. The record is from RefSeq and is a predicted model, not a curated record. The transcript has 3 exons.
AGAGUAUGAAGCCUCGUACUGGUGUAUUUUGCAUAUCAAUCAAUGAAGCAAGAGAGACGACAGACCUAGAAAUGCCUGACUUGAGAAACACAUUUGUUAUCAAGAUGGCUAAUCCUACCUGAUGGGGCCAUAUGACCUAAUCUGAACUGGGCAUCUCCAGUCCCUCUACUUCACCUUCACCUUACAUCCUAACCCUGCCUGACCUCCUGUACACCCUGCCUGCAAGAUCCGACCCGACCUGCCCUUCAUGUUUGGGACCACUCUUGUGUAGUUUGGCAUUAACCAAGUGAUUGCUAACACUCGAGAAUUUAUCAUUGCCUCUCAUCCAAAGCGGAUAGUGGGAAUGAGUGGGUAGUUGAGGCUCAGGAUCAGGAAGACAUGAAAACAUGGCUUACUACCAUUGUAGCUUAUUGCUGCUCAAAUGAAAAAGAACAG